CCUCAUCCAACUGUCUAUAAAGUAUCUUAUCCACCUCUUCAUCCUGGGUGGGUGGCCUGUAGCAGACUCCCACGAUACUGUCAGUCUUAUUGGCCUUCCCCUUGGUUGUAACCCGUAAGCUCUCAACCCUAUCAUCACCAUCAUUAAUUUCCAAACCAUAGUGGAAAUGCUAAGUCAUGGCCUGAACCAGUGAUCAAGCACCUGGUGGGAAGGCAGGGCCAACCCAGGGGAGCUCAGGUGCAUGCAGUGUACCUGAAUGACUGGAAGGUGUGGAGUCAGGAUCCACCCUUCCCAGACCUCAUUUAAGGGUUGGCAGUGGAGGUGAGGGUGUCUUCUGCUGGAGGUUUCUGCCUACCUGGGGUUUUCUAAAGGUUUAUGUUUAUGGAAACAACCUCACACCAACCCUUCUGUUCUUCCUGCAGAAUGGAACCUCGAGGACUGUUCCCUUUCUGCUGCAUUGUAAUUCCAGGAGAUGUCUGUGGAGUUGAAGUCCCCCAUGAAAACAAGGGGUAGAGACUGUGAGACCUCACCCAAGUGCCUGUAGAAACCAGAUUUUAAGUUUCUGUGCUACAAAUAAUGUGUUUGAGUUAAUCCAUUUGGCAGGAAAAAGUCUCUAUUUUUCAAAAUAUGUAGCUCUGAACUGAUUUUAAAUGAAUGUCUAAUUUUUAAAUGUUUGAAAUAUCCAGUCAAUGCUGUUAAUCAAAAUAGUGAUUCAAAGUAUUUUUGCAUUUUCUCUCAAAUACUUAACUUUGCUUUUCAAAAUCAGUGUAUUGUAUGGUCAUAUUUUGGAAGUGCAAAGACUCAGUCAAAACUGCAGAGAUGGACCUCACAGAGGAUACAGUUUAAUGCUAUUUUUUUCAUAUGCUUGUUGUGUUAUUUCUAGCUCCUAGCACUCUGCAAUAACCAAAUGUUCUUGUUUUGGUAUUUUUGGGGGCUGAUAAUAGCAGCAACCUGCAACAUUUUAGUACUGAACAAAGUGCAUUUGGUGGCAUGAUGUUUUGAGACAUCUGCCUUGCCUCUACUUGCGUAACUCUGGAUGUGUCCUUCCUAUCUCCUGCAGAAGAUUUUUGUUUUCCUGACCCUGUGAUUUCUGUAGCAUUCCUGUGAAAGCUUCCCUUGCAGCUGGUAGGACUAUGGUUGGGUGUGUGGUGGCUGUUCUUCUCAGGAUAUAUCCAUCAAUAGGUUCCUUCACUUUGGCUUCUAAAUCCCUCCUCCAACAAAACAACCCUUAAGUUAUUAAUUUAUCCUUAUAUUUUAGUAUCUAUUAAUUGUUGAACAAUCCGUUUGGCUUCUCAGUAUUCCCAUUUUCUUCUCAGGCUGACAGAUGGGAGGGGAAAGGCUGUUUCUCCUGUAGGUACUGUAUGAGCUGAGCUCUUUUUAUUUCAGGUUUGUUAUACAUUUUGCUCAGAAACACACAGCCCUUGUUGAUGCAGUUUUUGUUGUUGAAGAAUUUCACUUUGAAUCAAAAUGUUCAGCUGUGAAUGUUGCAAGCAGUUUAAAAAUAGCCAUGGAGCAUAUUGUUAAGAGAGUGCUUGGAAGCCUCAGCCAAAACCAACCGUUCUUGUGAAUCUGAAUGUUUCCCUGUUGCUGAGGAAUGCUAAUUAAGCUUUCAGUGCAGACAGGAAACAUAUUUAGCACACAUUUUCAGUGAAAAGGAGCUGAUUUCUCUGACCUUCUUCCCUCAGCAAGCAGAGGGAGCCUGUUAGUAUUCUACUUUUCCCACUGGUUUUCAUGUUUAUUUGCCCCAGAAAUAGAGAAUCAAACGAAAUGAGAUACACUCGUAUCAUGAUGCAUUCAUUCUCUUGACUUUCCCAAGGUCUUGUGUAGUCUGCAGGAAUGCCUGUGUAAUUCUCAGUAGACAACGAGAAAUGUUUGCAGAUUCAUCUCUCUUCUCCUGGGACUCUGACAUAUUAUGGCCGGCACCAGACAACACUGGUCUUCAUAAAUUAUGUACAAACACAUGGGCACACUUUUUGAGAAGCAAGAGGUCAAACAAGAUAUUACAGUGAUAUCCCACGGUACGAAACUAAGUCAACUCCUUUCUCCAGUAGAUGAAUUGACCGGUGUGGAUCUAUGAAUUGUUCCUAUCAUUACUAAGACUCAGAGGAAAACAUCUCAGCUUGCUCACUGCGAUGUCAUUCACUCUGGCUGACAGCCAACUUUUCCACUGGUCUGUGCUUUGUUUGUGUGCCAUCUGCCAGCUUAAAUUCUUCUGUAGCCUUCAAGACCUGGAAACAACUUUUCAGUUUCUCCCUGGGUACAGAUUAAAUUAAUCUAGAAUGUAGAGGUUCAGUGGUGCUGUAGAAGAGAGUGGUCCAUCACUGUUCUGUUAAUAGGAAGCUAUGACUGUAUCCUGCAAGUAUUGUUUUUUAGGUACUAAAUGUUCUGUCAUUUCACUGGAAACAUGGGAAUUCUGGUUUCCUCUUACUGCUUUCUCAGCCAUGUAUCUUAUGAUUUGACAGUAUGUCUCCCUACCUGCCAGACAGGAUGCCAGUCUGUCAGAAUUGUUUUCUUUUCUAUUUGUUUACUACAUAAAAAACACUGAUGUAAAAUGCAUUUGUGCAGCUUUGAUGAUCCAGGGCAAAAAGAGAAUUUGUUCUGACCUAAAACUUUGGAGGAGGAAAAAGCUUGGACAAAUCAAAGACAUAAAAAAAAAAUUCUCUUUGAUCAAAUAUGGAAAAUACGAAAGGUAUUACAGAUUAUUGGCAAGGUCCUCAGGUAAUACAAGCAAGCAGUUCUUACGUCUUCCAACUCAGUGUUACAUUUUGAAUACCUCAGUGAUGCUGGAACGAGUAUAUAUACUUAGUUUUGUUGAGAGAGAGAAGAGGUUGGGUUUGGAGAGGGAUUUUCUUAAGAGUGUAAGAAACCAAAAUGCUCCUGUCACUUUUGAAGUGGAUGACCACAGGUGAUGGUAGGGAUGUCUUAGCAGCAGCCCCAGGAAGGCAGUAGAACAAAUCUGUUUGGUGUUAAUUAGCAUCACUCACCAGGUGAAACAUCAUCACUAUCCUGAGAAUUGCUAGUACAUUGUGCACCUGCAAACCCUGGGCUGCCACUAAGAAAAAUCUGGAGAGCUUUUGAGAUAUGAGCACUUCUAAGCACACAAGUCCCCUGGAAAUAUCGACAGAGCUGUCUGAAUGAAAGGGACGUUUAUUGUCCUUUGCUUCUCUUGCAAGCUGAUUGUUAUGGGAAAUCUGUUUUUGCAAGUGUCAGGCUGACUUGAGAAGAAGCAAUUCUCUUCUGGAUAAUUUUGGCAGAACAACCUGACCUUCAAGAAACUAUGACUAAGA
Molecule: long non-coding RNA, 3287 nt
Organism: Phasianus colchicus (ring-necked pheasant)
Lineage: Eukaryota; Metazoa; Chordata; Aves; Galliformes; Phasianidae
Source: RefSeq, a predicted model, not a curated record